UACAGAGGUGGCAAGCGUUGUUCGGAAUUACUGGGCGUAAAGGGCGCGUAGGCGGCCUUCUAAGUCAGACGUGAAAUCCCCCGGCUUAACCUGGGAACUGCGUCUGAUACUGGGAGGCUAGAGUAUGGGAGAGGGAUGUAGAAUUCCAGGUGUAGCGGUGAAAUGCGUAGAUAUCUGGAGGAAUACCGGUGGCGAAGGCGGCAUCCUGGACCAUUACUGACGCUGAGGCGCGAAAGCUAGGGGAGCAAACAGG
RNAcentral lists this ribosomal RNA (253 nucleotides) under uncultured bacterium. Its description in RNAcentral is "partial 16S ribosomal RNA". It matches the Rfam family "Bacterial small subunit ribosomal RNA", at positions 524 to 776 of the family's 1533-position model. The record is from RNAcentral.